Molecule: long non-coding RNA, 692 nt
Filed under: Mastacembelus armatus (zig-zag eel)
Lineage: Eukaryota; Metazoa; Chordata; Actinopteri; Synbranchiformes; Mastacembelidae
Description: lncRNA (ENSMAMG00000026633.1)
Source: RNAcentral
CUUGAAACGGAUUUCUGCUGGAGGAGCGGAGCGGAGAGAGGAGGGACUGUUUUCUGAUGUUGGGGAGCCGGGAAGCAGGAACUGCGGGCGGCGGGGACGCGGAUGCCGGGUCUCAGGGGCCACCGGGGCCACCGGGCUGGGCACUCGGAGGGGAGGAGGUACCGCCCCGCCGUGCAGGGUGUCGUCUCACCGGCCUGGUCAGCUGGAAACAGAGACCGUUCAGGACUUCAGCCCUGUUUGCUGCAGCCAACGCGGUGUUCUGGUGUGUGGCCUGCAGCUCGGUGCGAGCCUACAGCCUCGUGGCGUCGCUGCUGGUUCUGAUGCUCGUCACAGUGACCGGCAGAGACAUCGCCUGCUCCCGAUAUAAAGGAGCUCAUUUAUGGAGCAGCAUGACUGCAAGGUAGGACACUGAAAUGCAUGUGAUCUGGAUGCGGAGCUGACUGGUCACAUACGAAUGUCUAAUCUAAUCCUCGCUGAGAACGAACCAUGUGACGACUCAAACACUGAGACUGUUUCAGUUUCAAGUCACAAAUCACACACUCACCUUGUGAUACACAAGUGUUUGCACAUUAGUGCUGAAACAGCAGUCGAUAGCUGCAGCAGAGGACUGAAAAAUGGUCUUUUAAUGUGUUUUAGGUUUAUGUUUUUAUGUUCAGUUGUUUACUUCCUUCCAAAUCGGUUUCCUCUAUGGG